GGCAACAGAGCGAGACUCUGUCUCAAAAAAAAAAAAAAAAAGGAAUUUACAUAGUUGAACAACUAUUCUUUGGACAUCUUUCAGUCCAGUAGACGGUGUUAAACUUGAAGACAAAUAAUGAUUUGACCUGUGAUAUUUGUUUUUCCCUCUUCUAAGCCCAUUCAUCCAGGUCAUUCAUCACCUUUAAAGGCAUCCCCAGAGGGAGGCAGGUCUGGACAGAGCUGAAGAUUGCACACACCAUUUGCAGGCUGGAUUCGUUCUCUGGUGACCCACCUGUCUGACUCGAGUUAUUUUUUUCCCAUGUCUGGACAAGACUGACCUCUGCCCAGCA
Molecule: long non-coding RNA, 331 nt
Filed under: Homo sapiens (human)
Lineage: Eukaryota; Metazoa; Chordata; Mammalia; Primates; Hominidae
Description: HSALNT0232961
Source: RNAcentral